CCUGUUCCUGGAGAGAUACCCUCCUGUAGGUUUACAUCUAUCUAGUCCAGGGCUCUCCAACCCUGUUCCUGGAGAGAUACCCUCCUGUAGGUUUACAUCUAUCUAGUCCAGGGCUCUCCAACCCUGUUCCUGGAGAGAUACCAUCCUGUAGGUUUACAUCUAUCUAGUCCAGGGCUCUCCAACCCUGUUCCUGGAGAGAUACCCUCCUGUAGGUUUACAUCUAUCUAGUCCAGGGCUCUCCAACCCUGUUCCUGGAGAGAUACCAUCCUGUAGGUUUACAUCUAUCUAGUCCAGGGCUCUCCAACCCUGUUCCUGGAGAGAUACCAUCCUGUAGGUUUACAUCUAUCUAGUCCAGGGCUCUCCAACCCUGUUCCUGGAGAGAUACCAUCCUGUAGGUUUACAUCUAUCUAGUCCAGGGCUCUCCAACCCUGUUCCUGGAGAGAUACCAUCCUGUAGGUUUACAUCUAUCUAGUCCAGGGCUCUCCAACCCUGUUCCUGGAGAGAUACCAUCCUGUAGGUUUACAUCUAUCUAGUCCAGGGCUCUCCAACCCUGUUCCUGGAGAGAUACCCUCCUGUAGGUUUACAUCUAUCUAGUCCAGGGCUCUCCAACCCUGUUCCUGGAGAGAUACCAUCCUGUAGGUUUACAUCUAUCUAGUCCAGGGCUCUCCAACCCUGUUCAUCAAUCUA
Long non-coding RNA from Oncorhynchus keta (chum salmon), 687 nucleotides. RefSeq lists it as uncharacterized. Lineage: Eukaryota; Metazoa; Chordata; Actinopteri; Salmoniformes; Salmonidae. The record is from RefSeq and is a predicted model, not a curated record. The transcript is spliced from 9 exons.